CUCUGCCAACCCUCCAGGGUUUAAUGUCUUCAACGUGUCCAUGGGCUGGAACAACAAGGGACCCAGGGGGGGAGGACUCAAACAGCUGGAGCAGAUUCUGUCCAUGGGCUUCAAGAACAAAUUCUACAACGCCAGCGUGAAGAGGCCGGCCCAGGGCUCCAGUCCACGUCUUGAUGA
Long non-coding RNA from Lampris incognitus (smalleye Pacific opah), 177 nucleotides. RefSeq lists it as uncharacterized. The record is from RefSeq and is a predicted model, not a curated record. NCBI's taxonomy places the organism in Eukaryota, Metazoa, Chordata, Actinopteri, Lampriformes, Lampridae. The transcript is spliced from 3 exons.